ACGCACGCUGGCGGCAUGCCUAACACCUGCAAGUCGAACGAGACCUUCGGGUCUAGUGGCGCACGGGUGCGUAACGCGUGGGAACCUGCCCUUAGGUUCGGAAUAACUCCCCGAAAGGGGUGCUAAUACCGGAUAAUGUCUUCGGACCAAAGAUUUAUCGCCUUUGGAUGGGCCCGCGUUGGAUUAGCUAGUUGGUAGGGUAAAAGCCUACCAAGGCGACGAUCCAUAGCUGGUCUGAGAGGAUGAUCAGCCACACUGGGACUGAGACACGGCCCAGACCCCUACGGGAGGCAGCAGUGGGGAAUAUUGGACAAUGGGCGAAAGCCUGAUCCAGCAAUGCCGCGUGAGUGAUGAAGGCCUUAGGGUUGUAAAGCUCUUUUACCCGGGAUGAUAAUGACAGUACCGGGAGAAUAAGCUCCGGCUAACUCCGUG
Molecule: ribosomal RNA, 432 nt
Filed under: uncultured bacterium
Lineage: Bacteria
Description: partial 16S ribosomal RNA
Rfam family: Bacterial small subunit ribosomal RNA
Source: RNAcentral